RNAcentral lists this ribosomal RNA (1353 nucleotides) under Triticum aestivum (bread wheat). Its description in RNAcentral is "partial small subunit ribosomal RNA". Lineage: Eukaryota; Viridiplantae; Streptophyta; Magnoliopsida; Poales; Poaceae. The record is from RNAcentral.
AUGGGCCAAGGAUAUAUUCGUAACAGUUCAGCCUGUAAAAGUAUUGGAAAGCACGGCCCGGCCCGGAGGAAUCGGCCCAAUAUACACACACCUAGCGACCACGGGCCACCUCUCCUCUCCACAUAUUGGAGCGGAGCCCGAACCGAGCAGAGAGAAACCCCUCUUCCCCUCCGUCCUCCCCUCCCCUUCCGCUCCCAGCUAGGGUUUUGCCCGCCCACCUGCCGUCACCGGACGCCCCUACCCGGCGCAGCCAGCGCGAUGGAGCCCACCUCGUCGUCGGCGGUGGCGAGGCAGACGUGGGAGCUGGAGAACAACAUCCCGGCGGCCGCCUCCGACCCGGACGCCAUGGACGCGAUCUACCGCUACGACGAGGCGGCCAACGCGCGGGCCCACCAGGAGAAGCCCUGGGCCUCCGACCCGCACCACUUCCGCCGCGCCAGGAUCUCCGCCCUCGCGCUCCUCAAGAUGGUCGUCCACGCCCGCGCCGGCGGCACCAUCGAGAUCAUGGGCCUCAUGCAGGGUAAGUUCGAGGGCGACUCCAUCAUCGUCAUGGACGCCUUCGCGCUCCCCGUCGAGGGCACCGAGACCCGGGUCAACGCCCAGGCCGACGCCUACGAGUACAUGGUCGAGUACUCCACCAUCAACAAGCAGGCUGGAAGGUUGGAAAAUGUGGUUGGCUGGUACCACUCACAUCCUGGUUAUGGAUGCUGGCUGUCAGGCAUUGAUGUUUCAACUCAGAUGCUUAAUCAGCAGUUUCAAGAACCAUGGUUGGCUGUUGUGAUAGACCCUACAAGGACUGUUUCUGCUGGUAAAGUGGACAUUGGAGCUUUUAGGACAUACCCAAAAGAUUACAAGCCACCGGAUGAGCCUGUGUCUGAGUAUCAGACCAUACCACUCAACAAGAUAGAAGAUUUUGGUGUUCACUGCAAACAGUACUAUUCUUUGGAUAUAACCUAUUUCAAGUCAUCCCUGGACUCUCACCUCCUUGAUCUACUCUGGAACAAGUACUGGGUCAACACAUUAUCUUCAUCACCACUUCUGGGCAACAGGGAUUAUAUUGCUGGACAAAUCUUUGAUUUAGCUGAUAAACUAGAGCAAGCUGAAGGGCAACUGGCACACAGUCGAUUUGGCAUGCUUAUGCCAUCACAGCGAAAGAAAGAGCAAGAGGAGUCGCCGCUGGCUAAGGUAACCCGGGAUAGCUCCAAAAUUACCGCUGAACAGGUUCAUGGUCUCAUGUCACAGGUCAUCAAGGACAUCCUCUUCAACUCUGUGCACCCGUCAAGCAAAAGCAAGGCAAGCGCAAGCGGAGCCGCCCCAGAUUCACCAGUGCCUGAGCCCAUGGUCGAAGCAUGA